GCCGCCUUAGCUCAGUGGUAAAGCAGUGGUUUUGUAAACCAUGGACGCGGGUUCGAUUCCUGCAGGCGGCUCCA
This 74-nucleotide transfer RNA is filed under the name Candidatus Kerfeldbacteria bacterium CG08_land_8_20_14_0_20_40_16. RNAcentral describes it as "tRNA-Thr". It matches the Rfam family "tRNA". From Rfam's summary of the family: Transfer RNA (tRNA) molecules are approximately 80 nucleotides in length. Their secondary structure includes four short double-helical elements and three loops (D, anti-codon, and T loops). The record is from RNAcentral. Lineage: Bacteria; Candidatus Kerfeldiibacteriota.